UGUAAUCUGGUGUUAUAUGCAUAUUAUGUUUUGGUCAUAGUGGAAAUUUGUAGUUGAUUACAA
Molecule: transfer RNA, 63 nt
Filed under: Echinostoma revolutum
Lineage: Eukaryota; Metazoa; Platyhelminthes; Trematoda; Plagiorchiida; Echinostomatidae
Description: tRNA-Gln
Source: RNAcentral